CAAUAGCGUAUAUUUAAGUUGUUGCGGUUAAAAAGCUCGUAGUUGGAUUUUGGGUCGGGGGCACCGGUCCGCCGUUCCGGUGUGCACUGGUGGCCCCUUCCUUUCUGCCGGGGACGUGCGUCGCACUUAAUUGGGUGGCGUUCGGAGUCGGCGUUGUUACUUUGAAAAAAUUAGAGUGUUCAAAGCAAGCCAUCGCUCUGAAUACAUUAGCAUGGAAUAACAUGAUAGGACUCCGGUCUUAUUUUGUUGGUUUCCGAGACUGGAGUAAUGAUUAAGAGGGACAGUCGGGGGCAUCCGUAUUUCAUUGUCAGAGGUGAAAUUCUUGGAUUUAUGAAAGACGAACUUCUGCGAAAGCAUUUGCCAAGGAUGUUUUCAUUA
Molecule: ribosomal RNA, 378 nt
Filed under: uncultured eukaryote
Lineage: Eukaryota
Description: partial 18S ribosomal RNA
Rfam family: Eukaryotic small subunit ribosomal RNA
Source: RNAcentral